GACGAACCGUGCGAACGUUGUUCGGAUUCACUGGGCUUAAAGGGCGCGUAGGCGGGCACCCAAGUCAGGGGUGAAAGCCCCCGGCCCAACCGGGGAAGUGCCUCUGAUACUGGGUGCCUCGAGCGGGGUAGGGGCAGCCGGAACUUCCGGUGGAGCGGUGAAAUGCGUAGAUAUCGGAAGGAACGCCGGUGGCGAAAGCGGGCUGCUGGACCCCCCCUGACGCUGAGGCGCGAAAGCCAGGGGAGCGAACGGG
This 253-nucleotide ribosomal RNA is filed under the name uncultured bacterium. Its description in RNAcentral is "partial 16S ribosomal RNA". It matches the Rfam family "Bacterial small subunit ribosomal RNA", at positions 524 to 776 of the family's 1533-position model. The record is from RNAcentral.